UUAUCAGACUUGUUACAAGGUUGUUCUAACAAGUCUGAUACAGUCAUGUUUAACAAGAAUGUUACAAGGUUGACGACACGAGGUUGUAACAGUAUUGUUAUAUCAUGACUGUAUCAGACUUGUUGGAACAACCUUGCAACAAGUCUGAUAA
Molecule: microRNA precursor, 151 nt
Filed under: Paramuricea clavata
Lineage: Eukaryota; Metazoa; Cnidaria; Anthozoa; Malacalcyonacea; Plexauridae
Source: RNAcentral